UUUCACAUAUCUUUAGAUAUAUUUUUUAAUUAUUCAUCAAAAUUAUAUUAUUGCUUAAAAUUGCGUCCUAAUGCCUUUAAGUCGUGUUUCGAGGCAACGUAUAAAUUCCGUUCUAUCGGCAUUACAUACAACUGUAAAUCUUGGCUACGUACCGCUGCUUAUUUAUUUGGGAUUACGCGCUGAUAGAAGACGAGCUAGUAUGAGAAAGAAUCGAUAGUUCCAGAUCCGUGAUUGAAAAAGGAAAAUUGUUGGAUUGAUUUAUCAAGACAAGUAUGAUUAAUCUUCAAUUACGUAAAGAAAAAAUCGCUACACAUAUACUAUUUUUUAUUUGUUAUUAUGUACUGGUGGAAGACGAGCUGAUGCGAGUAUCUACAUAUAGUGCAAGAUCAGUUAUUGAUAAAGAUUUAGGGAUUUGAAGUUUGAUGAUCUUUUUAGAGCUAUUGUACUUUAAAUUUGAAAAAGGAAAAUUGAUUGGUUGAUUGAUCGUGAUGAAUAUAACAAAUUUUAAUUUAUAUAAAAAUUAUUAGUUUUCAUAAAUGUAUUAACUAAGCUUUGUUCAAUUUAUUACAUUUGAUUUAAGUUGAUAUAUUGUGUGUAAUAAAAAUCUUAAGCAAAUAA
Teleopsis dalmanni is the source of this 618-nucleotide long non-coding RNA. RefSeq lists it as uncharacterized. The transcript is spliced from 2 exons. The record is from RefSeq and is a predicted model, not a curated record. NCBI's taxonomy places the organism in Eukaryota, Metazoa, Arthropoda, Insecta, Diptera, Diopsidae.